UAUGGAUUGUGCCAGCAGCCGCGCGGUAAUACCGGCAGCUCAAGUGGUCGUCACUUUUAUUGGGCUAAAACGUCCGUAGCCUGUUUGGUAAAUCUGUGGGUAAAUCAAUCCGCUCAACGGAUUGAAUUCUGCAGAGACUGCCAGACUAGGGACCGGGAGAGGUGUGGGGUACUCGAGGGGUAGGGGUAAAAUCCUGUCAUCCUUCGAGGACCACCAGUUGCGAAGGCGCCACACUGGAACGGAUCCGACGGUCAGGGACGAAGCCUAGGGGCACGAACCGGAUUAGAUACCCGGGUAGUCCUAGGUGUAAACGCUGUGAACUUGGUGUCGGGGGUCCGCAAGGGGUCCCCGGUGCCGGAGUGAAGAUGUUAAGUUCACUGCCUGGGGAGUACGGUCGCAAGGCUGAAACUUAAAGGAAUUGGCGGGGGAGCACUGCAACGGGAGGAGCGUGCGGUUUAAUUGGAUUCAACGCCGGAAAACUCACCAGGGCCGACUGUUAGAUGAAGACCAGCGUAACGAGCUUGUCGGAUUUUCAGAGAGGUGGUGCAUGGCCGUCGUCAGUUCGUACUGUAAAGCGUUCUGUUAAGUCAGAUAACGAACGAGACCCUCAUCUCUAUUUGCAACCUGUCUCUCCGGAGGCGGCGCACUAUAGAGAGACCGCUGGUGUGAGACCAGAGGAAGGCGAGGGCAACGACAGGUCAGUAUGCCCCGAAUGUCCUGGGCUACACGCGCGCUACAAAGGACGGGACAAUGGGAAGCUAGGCCGAGAGGCCACGCUAACCCGAAACCCGUUCAUAGUUCGGAUUGAGGGCUGUAACUCGCCCUCAUGAAGCUGGAUUCCGUAGUAAUCGUGUUUCAAUAUAGUACGGUGAAUAUGCCCCUGCUCCUUGCACACACCGCCCGUCA
RNAcentral lists this ribosomal RNA (906 nucleotides) under uncultured bacterium. Its description in RNAcentral is "bacterial SSU rRNA". It matches the Rfam family "Archaeal small subunit ribosomal RNA", at positions 447 to 1355 of the family's 1478-position model. The record is from RNAcentral.